GUCAAGGGCCAAGGGGAGCAUGCAGAGAACAGGUGGGACGUGCAGGGGCUUCUGGAACUGACUCAGGAUGGCCCACACCUGCCCUGACUGUCAAUCAACGAGAGCCAAAAGAAAAGAGAUACUGAAGCACUACUGUACUCGGACAUGGUGUCCUCGGGAGUUUAGAAAAACUUCUCUGGACUUUCCUGUUGCACUGUGUGGGACGUCCAGUCCAGGCCACGGUAGCAGUUUCCAUUGGUUUCGGACAGCUAAUGCCCCUUGUGAAACGGCACCAGCUCUUAUAGUGUUGCCUUAGCAGCCGGCCGGACCCGUGUGUGCUGGGUGGGCAGCAGGUGCGAGCGUGGAGGACAGCUCAACUGCUGCACUGUACGACACACAUACAGUUGAUGCACACACAAACACACAGUGACUUUUAAAGUGAAACUAAACUUUUUAAGAAUCUUACAAAAGCAACCAUGGAC
RNAcentral lists this long non-coding RNA (461 nucleotides) under Danio rerio (zebrafish). Its description in RNAcentral is "lncRNA si:ch211-201m7.7 (ENSDARG00000096968.2)". The record is from RNAcentral. Lineage: Eukaryota; Metazoa; Chordata; Actinopteri; Cypriniformes; Danionidae.